AUAGCGUAUAUUAAAGUUGUUGCAGUUAAAAAGCUCGUAGUUGAACCUUGGGCCUGGCUGGCCGGUCCGCCUCACCGCGUGUACUGGUCCGGCCGGGCCUUUCCCUCUGUGGAACCCCAUGCCCUUCACUGGGUGUGGCGGGGAAACAGGACUUUUACUUUGAAAAAAUUAGAGUGCUCCAGGCAGGCCUAUGCUCGAAUACAUUAGCAUGGAAUAAUAGAAUAGGACGUGUGGUUCUAUUUUGUUGGUUUCUAGGAUCGCCGUAAUGAUUAAUAGGGACGGUUGGGGGCAUUAGUAUUCAGUUGCUAGAGGUGAAAUUCUUAGAUUUACGGAAGACUAACUUCUG
This 346-nucleotide ribosomal RNA is filed under the name uncultured eukaryote. RNAcentral describes it as "SSU rRNA". It matches the Rfam family "Eukaryotic small subunit ribosomal RNA", at positions 594 to 945 of the family's 1831-position model. The record is from RNAcentral.